CGCCACAGCAAACAAAUCCCACCUAUACAACCCUACUUCCCGCCUACCUUACCGUCCACAACCUCACACCCGUCGCCAUCGUAGCCGUAGUGGACGAAACAUCUGCUGUUGUUGCUGUUUCUGGACAAUCCUCACCAUCCUCUUGCUCCUCCUCCUCGCUGCCAUUGCUGGUACUGCUCUUUACAUCCUUUACCGACCUCACCGCCCUACCUUCACCAUCACCUCCCUACGCAUCCACCGUCUUAAUCUCACCACCUCUGCUGACUCCUCCAUUUCCCACCUCUCCACUCUUCUUAACCUCACUAUCAUCUCCGAGAACCCCAAUUCACAUAUCUCACUAGACUAUGAACCCUUCACGGUCUCUGCAUUAUCUGAUGGCAAUGGUGUGUUUCUUGGUAAUGGUUCUUUGCCUGCUUUCAGUUUGAGUAAAAAGAAUCAGACAAGUUUUAGAAAUGUUGUGGUUUCUGGGUCGAACGAUCUUGACGU
Molecule: long non-coding RNA, 486 nt
Filed under: Populus trichocarpa (black cottonwood)
Lineage: Eukaryota; Viridiplantae; Streptophyta; Magnoliopsida; Malpighiales; Salicaceae
Description: long non-coding RNA (PTRI_LNC003981)
Source: RNAcentral